This 1079-nucleotide ribosomal RNA is filed under the name Herbaspirillum sp. Its description in RNAcentral is "bacterial SSU rRNA". It matches the Rfam family "Bacterial small subunit ribosomal RNA", at positions 376 to 1452 of the family's 1533-position model. Lineage: Bacteria; Pseudomonadati; Pseudomonadota; Betaproteobacteria; Burkholderiales; Oxalobacteraceae. The record is from RNAcentral.
CCCAAGCGUGAUCCAGCAAUGCCGCGUGAGUGAAGAAGGCCUUCAGGGUUGUAAAGUUCUUUUAGCAGGGAAGAAACGGAUGACGCUAAUAUCCUUGCCUGAUGACGGUACCUGAAGAAUGAGCACCGGCUAACUACGUGCCAGCAGCCGCGGUAAUACGUAGGGUGCAAGCGUUAAUCGGAAUUACUGGGCGUAAAGCGUGCGCAGGCGGUUGUGCAAGACAGAUGUGAAAUCCCCGGGCUCAACCUGGGAAUUGCAUUUGUGACUGCACGGCUAGAGUGUGUCAGAGGGGGGUAGAAUUCCACGUGUAGCAGUGAAAUGCGUAGAUAUGUGGAGGAAUACCGAUGGCGAAGGCAGCCCCCUGGGAUAACACUGACGCUCAUGCACGAAAGCGUGGGGAGCAAACAGGAUUAGAUACCCUGGUAGUCCACGCCCUAAACGAUGUCUACUAGUUGUCGGGUCUUAAUUGACUUGGUAACGCAGCUAACGCGUGAAGUAGACCGCCUGGGGAGUACGGUCGCAAGAUUAAAACUCAAAGGAAUUGACGGGGACCCGCACAAGCGGUGGAUGAUGUGGAUUAAUUCGAUGCAACGCGAAAAACCUUACCUACCCUUGACAUGUACGGAAGGCCGAAGAGAUUUGGCUGUGCUCGAAAGAGAACCGUAACACAGGUGCUGCAUGGCUGUCGUCAGCUCGUGUCGUGAGAUGUUGGGUUAAGUCCCGCAACGAGCGCAACCCUUGUCAUUAGUUGCUACGAAAGGGCACUCUAAUGAGACUGCCGGUGACAAACCGGAGGAAGGUGGGGAUGACGUCAAGUCCUCAUGGCCCUUAUGGGUAGGGCUUCACACGUCAUACAAUGGUACAUACAGAGGGCCGCCAACCCGCGAGGGGGAGCUAAUCCCAGAAAGUGUAUCGUAGUCCGGAUUGUAGUCUGCAACUCGACUACAUGAAGUUGGAAUCGCUAGUAAUCGCGGAUCAGCAUGUCGCGGUGAAUACGUUCCCGGGUCUUGUACACACCGCCCGUCACACCAUGGGAGCGGGUUCUGCCAGAAGUAGUUAGCCUAACCGCAAGGAGGGCG